UAUUGCGCAAUGGAGGAAACUCUGACGCAGUGACGCCGCGUAUAGGAAGAAGGUUUUCGGAUUGUAAACUAUUGUCGUGAGGGAAGAAAUUGACAGUACCUCAGGAGGAAGCUCCGGCUAACUAUGUGCCAGCAGCCGCGGUAAUACAUAGGGAGCAAGCGUUAUCCGGAUUUAUUGGGUUUAAAGGGUGCGUAGGCGGAUUCUUAAGUCAGCGGUAAAAUGUCCGGGCUCAACCCGGGCCGGCCGUUGAAACUGGGGGUCUUGAGUGGGCGAGAAGUAUGCGGAAUGCGUGGUGUAGCGGUGAAAUGCAUAGAUAUCACGCAGAACUCCGAUUGCGAAGGCAGCAUACCGGCGCCCUACUGACGCUGAGGCACGAAAGCGUGGGGAUCGAACAGG
Molecule: ribosomal RNA, 396 nt
Filed under: uncultured bacterium
Lineage: Bacteria
Description: bacterial SSU rRNA
Rfam family: Bacterial small subunit ribosomal RNA
Source: RNAcentral